Molecule: non-coding RNA, 79 nt
Filed under: Alkalispirochaeta americana
Lineage: Bacteria; Pseudomonadati; Spirochaetota; Spirochaetia; Spirochaetales; Spirochaetaceae
Source: RNAcentral
GGGCUGUGAUCGAAUCGGUGAAGUCCGGUGAAACUCCGGUACUGUCGCGCAGCGGUUAAAGUCCGAUCCCGAUUCGUCU